UUAAUUGAAGCUAAAUUAGAAGCAUUCCACUGUUAAUGGAGAAAAUGGUUUUACCCAAUUAAA
Molecule: transfer RNA, 63 nt
Filed under: Tettigometridae sp.
Lineage: Eukaryota; Metazoa; Arthropoda; Insecta; Hemiptera; Tettigometridae
Description: tRNA-Asn
Source: RNAcentral